CACAGGUGGUCGGGUAGAGAAUACCAAGGCGCUUGAGAGAACUCGGGUGAAGGAACUAGGCAAAAUGGUACCGUAACUUCGGGAGAAGGUACGCUCUUGAUGGUGAAGUCCCUCGCGGAUGGAGCUGACGAGAGUCGCAGAUACCAGGUGGCUGCAACUGUUUAUUAAAAACACAGCACUGUGCAAAAUCGCAAGAUGACGUAUACGGUGUGACGCCUGCCCGGUGCCGGAAGGUUAAUUGAUGGGGUUAGCGCAAGCGAAGCUCUUGAUCGAAGCCCCGGUAAACGGCGGCCGUAACUAUAACGGUCCUAAGGUAGCGAAAUUCCUUGUCGGGUAAGUUCCGACCUGCACGAAUGGCGUAAUGAUGGCCACGCUGUCUCCACCCGAGACUCAGUGAAAUUGAAAUCGCUGUGAAGAUGCAGUGUACCCGCGGCUAGACGGAAAGACCCCGUGAACCUUUACUACAGCUUGGCACUGAACAUUGAACCUACAUGUGUAGGAUAGGUGGGAGGCUAUGAAGACGUGACGCCAGUUGCGUUGGAGCCGUCCUUGAAAUACCACCCUUGUAUGUUUGAUGUUCUAACUUAGACCCAUUAUCUGGGUUGAGGACAGUGCCUGGUGGGUAGUUUGACUGGGGCGGUCUCCUCCCAAAGAGUAACGGAGGAGCACGAAGGUGGGCUAAUCACGGUUGGACAUCGUGAGGUUAGUGCAAUGGCAUAAGCCCGCUUAACUGCGAGAAUGACGGUUCGAGCAGGUGCGAAAGCAGGUCAUAGUGAUCCGGUGGUUCUGUAUGGAAGGGCCAUCGCUCAACGGAUAAAAGGUACUCCGGGGAUAACAGGCUGAUACCGCCCAAGAGUUCAUAUCGACGGCGGUGUUUGGCACCUCGAUGUCGGCUCAUCACAUCCUGGGGCUGAAGUCGGUCCCAAGGGUAUGGCUGUUCGCCAUUUAAAGUGGUACGCGAGCUGGGUUUAGAACGUCGUGAGACAGUUCGGUCCCUAUCUGCCGUGGGCGUUGGAAGAUUGAAGGGGGCUGCUCCUAGUACGAGAGGACCGGAGUGGACGAACCUCUGGUGUUCGGGUUGUGUCGCCAGACGCAUUGCCCGGUAGCUAAGUUCGGAAUUGAUAAGCGCUGAAAGCAUCUAAGCGCGAAGCGAGCCCUGAGAUGAGUCUUCCCUGAUACUUUAAGUAUCCUAAAGGGUUGUUCGAG
This 1206-nucleotide ribosomal RNA is filed under the name Vibrio cholerae. Its description in RNAcentral is "partial 23S ribosomal RNA". It matches the Rfam family "Bacterial large subunit ribosomal RNA", at positions 1658 to 2843 of the family's 2925-position model. Lineage: Bacteria; Pseudomonadati; Pseudomonadota; Gammaproteobacteria; Vibrionales; Vibrionaceae. The record is from RNAcentral.